UAGCAAAUCAACUCAACCAGGAGAUAUAAAUACCAAAUGACAAAGGAUAAACAGUAUCCUAAUCCAUGCUGUCUUUAUUUCAUUUCUCCAUAGACAUCCUCAUCUGGGAACCUCUGACACCAUGAACAGAUUCCCAGCUAAGGAAAUGAAGACAGCCAUGUAGCUCCGUGAAUCCUGGAUAUGCCUCAAGGCCAACUUUAAAGAAACAACAUGAAGCCAGGCAUGGUGGCACACACGAUAAUCCCAGCUCUCACAGGCUAAGGCAGGAGGAUCUCUGCAAAUUUGAGGCCAGCCCUGGCUACACUAGAGAAGCUCAGCUGGUCCCAGCACCCGGAAGGAAGCUCCCCGCCUCCAUCCCAGGCUCCCAGGGCAGAGAAGCUCAGCCAGUCCCAGCACCUAUAAGGAAGCUCCCCUGCUGCCAUCCAAGGCUCCUAGGGCAGAGAAGCUCAGCUGGUCCCAGCACCUGGAAGAAAGCUCCCCCACCACCAUCCCAAGCUCCUAGGGCAGAGAAGCUGAGCCAGUCCCAGAACCCAGAAGGAAGCUCCCCUGCUGCCAUCCCAUGCUCCUAGGACAGAAAAGGUGAGCUGCGUGGGUGCCAGAAGCACCCCCCCCCCAGAAAUGAGAAAACACAUAAACAAGCCUCAAAAACAGAGUUCCAGAUCACCUACAGCAAGCCCAAAGGGAAAUGAG
This 690-nucleotide long non-coding RNA is filed under the name Heterocephalus glaber (naked mole-rat). RNAcentral describes it as "lncRNA (ENSHGLG00100035639.1)". The record is from RNAcentral. Lineage: Eukaryota; Metazoa; Chordata; Mammalia; Rodentia; Bathyergidae.